This 78-nucleotide ribosomal RNA is filed under the name Neobacillus niacini. Its description in RNAcentral is "Bacillus niacini partial 16S ribosomal RNA". It matches the Rfam family "Bacterial small subunit ribosomal RNA", at positions 1463 to 1533 of the family's 1533-position model. RNAcentral also lists the same sequence under 1 other name. Lineage: Bacteria; Bacillati; Bacillota; Bacilli; Caryophanales; Bacillaceae. The record is from RNAcentral.
UGGGACAGAUGAUUGGGGUGAAGUCGUAACAAGGUAGCCGUAUCGGAAGGUGCGGCUGGAUCACCUCCUUUCUAAGGA